RNAcentral lists this unclassified non-coding RNA (21 nucleotides) under Mus musculus (house mouse). RNAcentral's name for it is "oocyte_clustered_small_RNA9466". Lineage: Eukaryota; Metazoa; Chordata; Mammalia; Rodentia; Muridae. The record is from RNAcentral.
GUGGCAUAUGGACCUCUUCCA